AGAGUUUGAUCAUGGCUCAGAUUGAACGCUGGCGGCAGGCCUAACACAUGCAAGUCGAGCGGAUGAGUGGAGCUUGCUCCAUGAUUCAGCGGCGGACGGGUGAGUAAUGCCUAGGAAUCUGCCUGGUAGUGGGGGACAACGUUUCGAAAGGAACGCUAAUACCGCAUACGUCCUACGGGAGAAAGUGGGGGAUCUUCGGACCUCACGCUAUCAGAUGAGCCUAGGUCGGAUUAGCUAGUUGGUGAGGUAAAGGCUCACCAAGGCGACGAUCCGUAACUGGUCUGAGAGGAUGAUCAGUCACACUGGAACUGAGACACGGUCCAGACUCCUACGGGAGGCAGCAGUGGGGAAUAUUGGACAAUGGGCGAAAGCCUGAUCCAGCCAUGCCGCGUGUGUGAAGAAGGUCUUCGGAUUGUAAAGCACUUUAAGUUGGGAGGAAGGGCAGUAAGUUAAUACCUUGCUGUUUUGACGUUACCGACAGAAUAAGCACCGGCUAACUUCGUGCCAGCAGCCGCGGUAAUACGAAGGGUGCAAGCGUUAAUCGGAAUUACUGGGCGUAAAGCGCGCGUAGGUGGUUCGUUAAGUUGGAUGUGAAAGCCCCGGGCUCAACCUGGGAACUGCAUCCAAAACUGGCGAGCUAGAGUAUGGCAGAGGGUGGUGGAAUUUCCUGUGUA
RNAcentral lists this ribosomal RNA (674 nucleotides) under uncultured Pseudomonas sp. Its description in RNAcentral is "bacterial SSU rRNA". It matches the Rfam family "Bacterial small subunit ribosomal RNA", at positions 8 to 677 of the family's 1533-position model. The record is from RNAcentral. Lineage: Bacteria; Pseudomonadati; Pseudomonadota; Gammaproteobacteria; Pseudomonadales; Pseudomonadaceae.